UGAGUACGAGACGCUAAGGUGUCGAAGUAGUGGAUGUCAUACUUCCAAGAAAAGCUUGCACUGUCAUAAAUAAAAGAUGCCUGUACCAUAACCGACACAGGUGGGUAAGUAGAGUAUACUAAGGGGCGCGAGAUAACUCUCUCUAAGGAACUCGGCAAAAUAACUCCGUAACUUCGGGAGAAGGAGUGCCUUAUUCUUAAGGUUGCAAUAACAAGAUCCAAGCAACUGUUUAUCAAAAACACAGGUCUCCGCUAAGUCGUAAGACGAUGUAUGGGGGCUGACGCCUGCCCAGUGCCAGAAGGUUAAAGAAGUCGGUUAGCAAUAGCAAAGCUGGUAACUGAAGCCCUGGUGAACGGCGGCCGUAACGAUAACGGUCCUAAGGUAGCGAAAUUCCUUGUCGGGUAAGUUCCGACCCGCACGAAAGGCGUAAUGAUUUGGAUGCUGUCUCGGAGAGGGGCUCGGUGAAAUAGACUUGUCUGUGAAGAUGCGGACUACCUGCACCAGGACAGAAAGACCCUAUGAAGCUUUACUGUAACUUGAAAUUGAAAUUGGACUUUAUUCGCGCAGUAUAGGUGGGAGGCGUUGAUUAUAAUCUUGUGGGAUUAUUGGAGCCAUCAGUGAGAUACCACUCUUGUAAUGUUAGAUUUCUAACUUUGAAUCAUUAUCUGGUCAAAGGACAGUUUCAGGCGGGCAGUUUGACUGGGGCGGUCGCCUCCUAAACGGUAACGGAGGCGUACAAAGGUUUCCUCUGAACGGUUAGAAAUCGUAUCUAGAGUGUAAAGGCAUAAGGAAGCUUGACUGUGAGACCUACAAGUCGAGCAGGGACGAAAGUCGGUCUUAGUGAUCUGACGGUACUGAGUGGAAAGGCCGUCACUCAACGGAUAAAAGUUACUCUAAGGAUAACAGGCUGAUCUCCCCCAAGAGUUCACAUCGACGGGGAGGUUUGGCACCUCGAUGUCGGCUCAUCGCAUCCUGGGGCGGUAGUACGUCCCAAGGGUUGGGCUGUUCGCCCAUGAAAGCGGUACGCGAGCUGGGUUCAGAACGUCGUGAGACAGUUCGGUCCAUAUCCGGUGUAGGCGCUAGAAUAUUGAGAGGAGCCUUCUUUAGUACGAGAGGACCGAGAAGGACAUACCUCUGGUGUACCAGUUAUCGUGCCAACGGUAAACGCUGGGUAGCUAUGUAUGGAGUGGAUAACCGCUGAAAGCAUCUAAGUGGGAAGCCCACCUCAAGAUAAGUAUUCUCAUCACGUAAGUGAGUAAGGUCACGGUAAGACUAACCGUUUGAUAGGCAUUAAGUGUAAGUACAGUAAUGUAUGUGCUGAGAUGUCCUAAUAGACCGAGGACUUG
This 1346-nucleotide ribosomal RNA is filed under the name metagenome. RNAcentral describes it as "bacterial LSU rRNA". It matches the Rfam family "Bacterial large subunit ribosomal RNA", at positions 1564 to 2925 of the family's 2925-position model. The record is from RNAcentral.